CCUACGGGUGGCAGCAGUGAGGAAUAUUGGUCAAUGGACGAGAGUCUGAACCAGCCAAGUAGCGUGAAGGAUGACUGCCCUAUGGGUUGUAAACUUCUUUUAUAAAGGAAUAAAACGAGGCACGUGUGCCUUUUUGCAUGUACUUUAUGAAUAAGGAUCGGCUAACUCCGUGCCAGCAGCCGCGGUAAUACGGAGGAUCCGAGCGUUAUCCGGAUUUAUUGGGUUUAAAGGGAGCGUAGAUGGUUUGUUAAGUCAGUUGUGAAAGUUUGCGGCUCAACCGUAAAAUUGCAAUUGAUACUGGCAGUCUAGAGUACAGUUGAGGUAGGCGGAAUGCGUGGUGUAGCGGUGAAAUGCUUAGAGAUCACGAAGAACCCCGAUUGCGAAGGCAGCUUACUAAGCUGUGACUGACAUUGAUGCUCGAAAGUGUGGGUAUCAAACAGGAUUAGAUACCCGAGUAGUC
This 460-nucleotide ribosomal RNA is filed under the name uncultured bacterium. RNAcentral's name for it is "partial 16S ribosomal RNA". It matches the Rfam family "Bacterial small subunit ribosomal RNA", at positions 338 to 795 of the family's 1533-position model. The record is from RNAcentral.